RNAcentral lists this non-coding RNA (45 nucleotides) under Schistosoma curassoni. The record is from RNAcentral. Lineage: Eukaryota; Metazoa; Platyhelminthes; Trematoda; Strigeidida; Schistosomatidae.
AUCCAGUUUAUGAGUUCCAAAUAGGACGAAACGAGCGUCCUGGAU